RNAcentral lists this ribosomal RNA (346 nucleotides) under Helicobacter canis. RNAcentral describes it as "bacterial SSU rRNA". It matches the Rfam family "Bacterial small subunit ribosomal RNA", at positions 809 to 1150 of the family's 1533-position model. The record is from RNAcentral. Lineage: Bacteria; Pseudomonadati; Campylobacterota; Epsilonproteobacteria; Campylobacterales; Helicobacteraceae.
UUGAAUGCUAGUUGUUGCCCUGCUUGUCAGGGCAGUAAUGCAGCUAACGCAUUAAGCAUUCCGCCUGGGGAGUACGGUCGCAAGAUUAAAACUCAAAGGAAUAGACGGGGACCCGCACAAGCGGUGGAGCAUGUGGUUUAAUUCGAAGAUACGCGAAGAACCUUACCUAGGCUUGACAUUGAUAGAAUCUGCUAGAGAUAGCGGAGUGUCUAGCUUGCUAGACCUUGAAAACAGGUGCUGCACGGCUGUCGUCAGCUCGUGUCGUGAGAUGUUGGGUUAAGUCCCGCAACGAGCGCAACCCUCGUCCUUAGUUGCUAGCAGUUCGGCUGAGCACUCUAAGGAGAAG